Long non-coding RNA from Rhipicephalus microplus (southern cattle tick), 651 nucleotides. NCBI's taxonomy places the organism in Eukaryota, Metazoa, Arthropoda, Arachnida, Ixodida, Ixodidae. The record is from RefSeq and is a predicted model, not a curated record.
GCAUAGAGUGCAUACACCAGCAGCAGAAAAGAGCCCCAGGUAGCACAAAGGUGAUCGAGGCGUUUUCGCGACCUGUCAGCAUCUUCAAGGACAGCAACAACUCACCCUUCAAGUGCCUGAGCGCUACACGAACUACGCUUCGACCCUCAAGCAAAGGAAGCAACCUACAUUUGGCACCUGAGAGAUGACCAUGGCAGAGUGAAGCAAAAUGUAAGCUUCGACGUUGAGAAAGGAAAGGAAAUUGACCAGGUCACCUUCUACGUCGACGAUGAUCGAUCUCACCCUUUUACUGCAUACUGCAACUACACCGACUACCAGAACUGCAUAGUCGUCACUAUUCCUUACAGUGGGCACAAUCAUUGCAUGAUGUGGCUGCAACGUAGGGUCGCCCACAACGUGCCACAAAACUGCUUGGACAAGUAUGAAGAAAAGUGUGGCGUCAAGAUACCAACGUUCGACAGCGACCUCUGCAAGGAUGACUAAUAAAAUAGCAUUUGACAGUCACCGAACUGAGCUCGCACUAACCACUUGGAUCAAAAAGCUCAAGGUGAUAAAACACCGAGAUAUCGGACACUGUCAAUCUACCGGUGAAAUGUAACCAAUUAGAGUCAUUGCGAUUAAAGUUUACACAAUUUUUGCUUUCAGCUUCAU